AACUCAAGUGGCGGACGGGUGAGUAACACGUAAGAAUUUGCCUUUAGGAGGGGGAUAACAACUAGAAAUGGUUGCUAAUACCCCAUAUGCUUUCGAGUGAAACGGAUUUUUCCGCCUAGAGAGAAGCUUGCGGCUGAUUAGCUUGUUGGUGAGGUAAUGGCUCACCAAGGCGACGAUCAGUAUCUGGUUUGAGAGGACGAUCAGACACACUGGAACUGAGACACGGUCCAG
This 231-nucleotide ribosomal RNA is filed under the name uncultured bacterium. RNAcentral's name for it is "partial 16S ribosomal RNA". It matches the Rfam family "Bacterial small subunit ribosomal RNA", at positions 88 to 334 of the family's 1533-position model. The record is from RNAcentral.